CUGAGCAGCCAUAUCACCCUGCAACUCACAACUGGCAGCCCACUGAAGCUAAGCAGGUGUGAGCCUGGUCAGUACCUGGAUGGGAGACCUCCUGGGAAAAACUAAGGUUGCUGCUGGAA
Ribosomal RNA from Lepisosteus oculatus (spotted gar), 119 nucleotides. The record is from Ensembl. NCBI's taxonomy places the organism in Eukaryota, Metazoa, Chordata, Actinopteri, Semionotiformes, Lepisosteidae.